Molecule: ribosomal RNA, 513 nt
Filed under: uncultured bacterium
Lineage: Bacteria
Description: partial 16S ribosomal RNA
Rfam family: Bacterial small subunit ribosomal RNA
Source: RNAcentral
GACGAACGCUGGCGGCGUGCUUAACACAUGCGAGUCGAACGAGAGCGUAGAGAAAGCUUGCUUUUUCUACAAUCUAGUGGCAAACGGGUGAGUAACGCGUAAACAACCUGCCCUACGGAUGGGGACAACAGCUGGAAACGGCUGCUAAUACCGAAUACGUUCCGAAAGUCGCAUGACUAUCGGAAGAAAGGAUGGCCUCUAUUUAUAAGCUAUCGCCGGAGGAGGGGUUUGCGUCUGAUUAGCUAGUUGGAGGGGUAACGGCCCACCAAGGCGACGAUCAGUAGCCGGUCUGAGAGUAUGAACGGCCACAUUGGAACUGAGACACGGUCCAGACUCCUACGGGAGGCAGCAGUGGGGAAUCUUCCGCAAUGGGCGAAAGCCUGACGGAGCAACGCCGCGUGAGUGAAGACGGCCUUCGGGUUGUAAAGCUCUGUUAUACGGGACGAAUAAUCUUGUGGUUAAUACCCAUGAGAAGUGACGGUACCGUAAGAGAAAGCCACGGCUAACUACGUG